GCACUUUAACUUAACAACAUUCCUCAAACAUGAACAGUCUCUUUCAUUUCUUUUUCUUCUUCUUUCUCCUCUUCACUUCUCAAAUUGUAUUACUUCACGCCAUCAGCCGGCCACCGCCGGCAGGAUUUUCCGGUCCGUCAACGGCGAGAAAACAUCAAGUUUUUCAACCUCAGGCGAGUGCUCCGUUUGCUAGAGACUUAGAAUCUGAUAAGAGGAGAGUUCCCACUGGACCAAAUCCUCUACACAACAAGAAAAGAAAGGUUUAAAUUCUGCAUUUAGAGCUCCUCUUGUUAUUCGUCAAAGGUAUAGUAAUUUAAUUUUCAUUCAUUAGUUUGUCUUUUGGUUGUAGAGUUUUCCUCUGUAUUAUAUUGGCGAUUCAAUAUUCGUAUUCACCAAUUUCAAUUUUGUACAAAUUAUGGUAUAGAUAGCUUAGUUUAAUUACACAUGUACUUUUUUUUAAUUCCAUAACUUUUAAUUUUUUUGCAGUUAGGUUAUUUUAGGUUUUUAGCCUUUCCUAGCUGGGUGAUUAUGCUUAUGUAGAUUUUGCGAGAAAGGAAUAUGUGGUGUUUUGUUACCAUUAAUAAUUUAGUCCUGCAAAAAAUUGUUUAAGUUGAUAAUUCUAUCAUUACAUAUAUUUUUUUUCCUUUUCUUUUCUUGUACUAGUAUGUAAUUACUCCUUUGUAAGAAUGGUGCUUUUAAACCAAGUUAGCUAGCCUCGGAAUUGAAUGAACAAUAAUAAUUAAUAAGAGAAAAUAAAAUAACAAUGGACUCUUUCUCUCUCUCGUAAAUACUUAUGAAGAU
Molecule: long non-coding RNA, 801 nt
Filed under: Nicotiana benthamiana
Lineage: Eukaryota; Viridiplantae; Streptophyta; Magnoliopsida; Solanales; Solanaceae
Description: long non-coding RNA (NBEN_LNC009565)
Source: RNAcentral